CCUACGGGCGGCAGCAGUGGGGAAUAUUGGGCAAUGGGCGCAAGCCUGACCCAGCAACGCCGCGUGAAGGAAGAAGGCUUUCGGGUUGUAAACUUCUUUUCUCAGGGACGAAGAAAGUGACGGUACAUGAGGAAUAAGCCACGGCUAACUACGUGCCAGCAGCCGCGGGAAUACGUAGGGGGCAAGCGUUAUCCGGAUUUACUGGGGGUAAAGGGCGUGUAGGCGGGAAAGCAAGUCAGAUGUGAAAACCAGGGGCUCAACCUGUGGCCUGCAUUUGAAACUGUUUUUCGUGAGUACUGGAGAGGCAGACGGAAUUCCUCGUGUAGCGGUGAAAUGCGUAGAUAGGAGGAGGAACACCAGUGGCGAAGGCGGUCUGCUGGACAGCAACUGACGCUGAGGCGCGAAAGCGUGGGGAGCAAACAGGAUUAGAUACCCUAGUAGUC
RNAcentral lists this ribosomal RNA (443 nucleotides) under uncultured bacterium. Its description in RNAcentral is "partial 16S ribosomal RNA". It matches the Rfam family "Bacterial small subunit ribosomal RNA", at positions 338 to 795 of the family's 1533-position model. The record is from RNAcentral.